RNAcentral lists this ribosomal RNA (434 nucleotides) under uncultured bacterium. RNAcentral describes it as "partial 16S ribosomal RNA". It matches the Rfam family "Bacterial small subunit ribosomal RNA", at positions 29 to 507 of the family's 1533-position model. The record is from RNAcentral.
AGCGAACGCUGGCGGCAGGCCUAACACAUGCAAGUCGAACGAACCUUUCGGGGUUAGUGGCGGACGGGUGAGUAACACGUGGGAACGUGCCUUUAGGUUCGGAAUAACUCAGGGAAACUUGUGCUAAUACCGAAUGUGCCCUUCGGGGGAAAGAUUAAUCGCCUUUAGAGCGGCCCGCGUCUGAUUAGCUAGUUGGUUGAGGUAAUGGCUCACCAAGGCGACGAUCAGUAGCUGGUCUGAGAGGAUGAUCAGCCACAUUGGGACUGAGACACGGCCCAAACUCCUACGGGAGGCAGCAGUGGGGAAUUUUGCGCAAUGGGCGAAAGCCUGACGCAGCCAUGCCGCGUGAAUGAUGAAGGUCUUAGGAUUGUAAAAUUCUUUCACCGGGGACGAUAAUGACGGUACCCGGAGAAGAAGCCCCGGCUAACUUCGUG